Saimiri boliviensis boliviensis (Bolivian squirrel monkey) is the source of this 139-nucleotide small nuclear RNA. Its record names the gene U4. It matches the Rfam family "U4 spliceosomal RNA". Rfam says of the family: U4 small nuclear RNA (U4 snRNA) is a component of the major U2-dependent spliceosome. The structure of U4 snRNA from yeast and human has been reported. The record is from Ensembl. NCBI's taxonomy places the organism in Eukaryota, Metazoa, Chordata, Mammalia, Primates, Cebidae.
AGCUUUGUGCAGUGGCAGUAUCAUAGCAAAUGAGGUUUAUUUGAGGCGCGUACUGCUAAUUGAAAACUUUUCCCGAUACUCCGCCAUGACAACUUGAAAUACAGUUGGCAUUGGCAAUUUUUGGCAAUCUCUAUGGGGA